GCAGAACGCGAAGAACCUUACCUGGGUUUGACAUGGCCGCAAAACCGGCAGAGAUGUCGGGUCCUUCGGGGGCGGUCACAGGUGGUGCAUGGCUGUCGUCAGCUCGUGUCGUGAGAUGUUGGGUUAAGUCCCGCAACGAGCACAACCCUCGUUCGAUGUUGCCAGCGGUUCGGCCGGGGACUCAUCGAAGACUGCCGGGGUCAACUCGGAGGAAGGUGGGGAUGACGUCAAGUCAUCAUGCCCCUUAUGUCCAGGGCUUCACGCAUGCUACAAUGGCCGGUACAAUGGGCUGCGAUACCGUGAGGUGGAGCGAAUCCCAAAAAGCCGGUCUCAGUUCGGAUCGGGGUCUGCAACUCGACCCCGUGAAGUCGGAGUCGCUAGUAAUCGCAGAUCAGCAACGCUGCGGUGAAUACGUUCCCGGGUCUUGUACACACCG
This 436-nucleotide ribosomal RNA is filed under the name uncultured bacterium. RNAcentral describes it as "bacterial SSU rRNA". It matches the Rfam family "Bacterial small subunit ribosomal RNA", at positions 954 to 1392 of the family's 1533-position model. The record is from RNAcentral.